GAUGAACGCUGGCGGCGUGCCUAAUACAUGCAAGUCGAGCGAACAGAUGAGGAGCUUGCUCCUCUGACGUUAGCGGCGGACGGGUGAGUAACACGUGGAUAACCUACCUAUAAGACUGGGAUAACUUCGAGAAACCGGAGCUAAUACCGGAUAAUAUAUUGAACCGCAUGGUUCAAUAGUGAAAGACGGUUUUGCUGUCACUUAUAGAUGGAUCCGCGCCGCAUUAGCUAGUUGGUAAGGUAACGGCUUACCAAGGCAACGAUGCGUAGCCGACCUGAGAGAGUGAUCGGCCACACUGGAACUGAGACACGGUCCAGACUCCUACGGGAGGCAGCAGUAGGGAAUCUUCCGCAAUGGGCGAAAGCCUGACGGAGCAACGCCGCGUGAGUGAUGAAGGUCUUCGGAUCGUAAAACUCUGUUAUUAGGGAAGAACAAAUGUGUAAGUAACUAUGCACGUCUUGACGGUACCUAAUCAGAAAGCCACGGCUAACUACGUG
Molecule: ribosomal RNA, 497 nt
Filed under: uncultured bacterium
Lineage: Bacteria
Description: partial 16S ribosomal RNA
Rfam family: Bacterial small subunit ribosomal RNA
Source: RNAcentral